Molecule: long non-coding RNA, 300 nt
Organism: Mauremys reevesii (Reeves's turtle)
Lineage: Eukaryota; Metazoa; Chordata; Testudines; Geoemydidae
Exons: 3
Source: RefSeq, a predicted model, not a curated record
CAAUAUGAAUGGUACAGAGAAGGUGAUAAAACUUUUCUGAUGAUGAUUCAAGAACAAAAAGAUACUAAAGGCUUGUCUACACAGCACAGCAAAGCACUUUAGAGGGCUAAAGCCUUGGUCCUGAAACUUUAAAGUCAGCUGGAAGAAGACAACAAGUGUGGAAAAUUUCAGCUCAAAUGCUUGAACUAUAUGACAAGUGUGUCCAACUUACCCAGUUUUGGGGCUUGUCUACAUUACCUGCUGGAUCAACGGGCAGCAAUCGAUCUAAUGGGGGGGUCGAUUUAGUGCGUCUAAUCUAGA